This 459-nucleotide ribosomal RNA is filed under the name uncultured bacterium. Its description in RNAcentral is "partial 16S ribosomal RNA". It matches the Rfam family "Bacterial small subunit ribosomal RNA", at positions 338 to 795 of the family's 1533-position model. The record is from RNAcentral.
CCUACGGGAGGCUGCAGUGAGGAAUAUUGGUCAAUGGGCGAGAGCCUGAACCAGCCAAGUCGCGUGGAGGAAGACGGUCCUAUGGAUUGUAAACCUCUUUUGUCGGGGAGUAAAACGCGUUACGUGUACCGCUUCGCGUGUACCCUGUGAAUAAGCAUCGGCUAAUUCCGUGCCAGCAGCCGCGGUAAUACGGAGGGUGCGAGCGUUAUCCGGAUUUAUUGGGUUUAAAGGGUGCGCAGGCGGCGUGUAAAGGCAGCGGUAAAAUUUCGGGGCUCAACCCCGACAAGCCGUUGAAACUGGCGUGCUAGAGUGGGCGGGAAGUAGGCGGAAUGCGUGGUGUAGCGGUGAAAUGCAUAGAUAUCACGCAGAACUCCGAUUGCGAAGGCAGCAUGCCGGAGCGGAACUGACGCUCAGGCACGAAAGCGUGGGUAUCGAACAGGAUUAGAUACCCUUGUAGUC